This is a small nucleolar RNA of Oryza sativa (Asian cultivated rice), 107 nucleotides long. It matches the Rfam family "Plant small nucleolar RNA R71". Rfam says of the family: R71 is a member of the C/D box family of snoRNAs containing the C (UGAUGA) and D (CUGA) box motifs. Multiple nearly identical copies of this snoRNA have been identified in Arabidopsis, and it is thought to function as a 2'-O-ribose methylation guide for 18S ribosomal RNA. Lineage: Eukaryota; Viridiplantae; Streptophyta; Magnoliopsida; Poales; Poaceae. The record is from Rfam.
AUCCCAUGGUGAGGACAUACCAGGAUGUAUUCAUGGAGUCUCCCCCAUGCCUCUGGUAUUGAAUCAUUGGUUGCCUGCUAGAAACUCGAGAUCUUUCCAUGAAGGGU